Non-coding RNA from Stegastes partitus (bicolor damselfish), 1781 nucleotides. Lineage: Eukaryota; Metazoa; Chordata; Actinopteri; Pomacentridae. The record is from the annotation of a RefSeq genome assembly.
ACAGAUGCACAAAUAUUGUUUCUCUUUUAGUUUAUAUGUGCUUUCAUCUGCAAAAAUUACAGUUCAUUGUCAUAAACUGUUCAUAAACUGGACUUAUGCCUGUGGCCUUCAGAAGGGUAACUCUGCCGAUCAUAAGGACCACCGAGUCCUUUGGCUGGCUGGAUGUUUCUUAGUUCAGCUUGCGUGCUCUCACCUGACAUUCACAUUUUCUAUACCUGUUAAAAACCAGUCUACAAAUUCCAAGCAGGUGUUUAUUCAGUUUGCAUACUGUACAUCAGUUGUGACUCUUUAGCAGACUAUGACUCCUGACAUCCUCCAUUUCUGUAAUGACUGCAUAUUUUUAGCCACCUUGACCAACCUCAGCAACUCAGUGUCUUGGUCAACACCAUGUCUGCACCACAAUAUGUCAGAACUCAUCUUUUGUGGCGCCACUAUUCUGUCAUUGUACACCUGUUCCUUCUCACAUUCUGUGUCCCUGGAGGCCUUUACAUCGUCUGGCACCUUACCUCUGUAUGUAGACCUCCCUAUCAUCACAGCGUUGGAUCAGCUGCAGCUUAGCAUCCUGUAGUGUUUGUUGCUCAGCCAGGUCAAGCUUGAACUGCUACCUAACAGACCGUUACUUCACUGGUCAGCUCAGAAAUUUCUUAGGUCACAGCGGCUGGGAUUUCUAGAAAUGGUGUCUGAUACAACAAGUUUGUUUCCUGUCACAUAUUUGGCUGCAGUGUUACAGCACAUCAUAUGCAGCACUAGUCUGUGACACCUCACAGGUUGAGGUGGAGUUAGUUCUAGUUUAUCAGAAGAUGGAAAGGUUUGUGACCACUCUGCAGAGUGAAAAAAAUCUCACCAAACUAAAUUCAACUAUGGCAGAAAAGAAAACACUUCUAGUGUUUAUCUCUGGCUCCACCCACCAAUGUUCAACUCAACCAAUGAGAUUGUUCCUGUGUGCAGAACUUAAAGCACAAUGAACUUGAUGUGGAGAACAACUGUGCAGUAGAGAGGCUGCUUAGUUCUUCCAUUGUGCUGCAGUGGAACAACACUGUUGAUCUGCUGUCUAACUGCGACAACUGAAAACAUGUUAAUUUACCUGCUUUUUAUUUUCUACAACUUUCUAGCCAUGGGCUCCAUGAACAGCAUAAAGCCGAUAAGUACUGAACAAGUUGUUGCAGAGGGAAGAAACAUCAGGCUGACCUGUGACUAUGAUGGUACUAUCUACAGUAUCCAGUGGUACCGACAGUACCAGAGAUCCAGACCAGAGUUCCUGCUGUCCAUCACAGAGGGAGGAUCUAUUCAUCCAACGCUUUCUGACUUCUCUGCUCACAUUAACAAAACACACAAACGUGUAGAUCUGGAGAUCAUCUCAGCUGCAGUGACAGACUCUGCUGUGUACUACUGUGCUCUGGAGCCCACAGUGACAGGAAACAGCAAAACUCUGUACAAAAACCUUUGGAGCAAAGAUAAGAGAAAACUCAACUACAUCCACUAGAUGGAGACACACUCUGUUACAUGUCUAUGAAUUGUUAAAAUUCAGUUUACCGUAGGGGAGUAGGUUGGCCUCCCUUCCCUCAUCUGUAUAGUCCAGGUAAUUAUAGACUUCACCAUCAGAACUUUAAAUGUCAUAGAUCUACUUUUAAACAGUACUAAUUAUUACAUAUUUCAGGUUUAGCUCACAAAUGUUUCAGGACUAAAGCCUCUCAUCUGUGUGGAUUUUUCCCUGGACUUUAAAAUUACUACAUUAAGUGAAAUUUUUCCUACAUGUCGCACAACAAUAUGACUUCCUAUUU